This 84-nucleotide small RNA is filed under the name Sinorhizobium meliloti 2011. Its description in RNAcentral is "putative ncRNA". The record is from RNAcentral. Lineage: Bacteria; Pseudomonadati; Pseudomonadota; Alphaproteobacteria; Hyphomicrobiales; Rhizobiaceae.
GAGCCCAUACCAGGCGCGGCAGUACGGCCCUGGUGAUGGCGCCGCCGAUCGAGACCCGCGGCGUGAUCGAGGGGGAUCGCCGUU